This 119-nucleotide ribosomal RNA is filed under the name Pisolithus marmoratus. RNAcentral describes it as "partial 28S ribosomal RNA". The record is from RNAcentral. Lineage: Eukaryota; Fungi; Basidiomycota; Agaricomycetes; Boletales; Pisolithaceae.
CCCUUCGACGUCAUAAUGAUCGUCGUGGGCGAACGAACCGUGUCCCGUGCUUCUCUAACUCGGCAGAGGGGAGCUUUCGUGCUCUUCUCCUUGCCCUUCGAAGGCUUGACCUCAAAUCA